CAGCCUGCCAAGUUGGGUCCCUGUAUGCCAAGUUCCAGGGGAUAGCAAACUUAAAACUGAAUCAUAAACCCUGAAGGAAGAGCCUUAUCUGAUGUGGUAGACCAAACUUAAUGGGGCCAGUACUUGCAGCUGCAUUUUUUGGAAAGUGUUUCAUUAAUUGCUUUGAAAAAGCAGCAGCAAAUAUUGGGCCCCAUAAGUGCGUACCGAGGACUCCCAUUGAUUUCAGUGAGGUUCUCAGCCUGAUGCUAAGCCAAGCGAAGGCAAUUGGAAGCAUUCCACUGACUUCUGUGGACUUUGGAUCAAAUCCUGGGGUUGCACACACCCUUGCCCUUAGUAGUUGGUGCAGAAUCCCACGCAACUCUGAUCAGCAAAUUGAUAUACUGAUCUUCUUUUGCCCUCCCUUCUGGAACCUGCAGAACGCCACCCUG
Molecule: long non-coding RNA, 428 nt
Organism: Crocodylus porosus (Australian saltwater crocodile)
Lineage: Eukaryota; Metazoa; Chordata; Crocodylia; Crocodylidae
Source: Ensembl